This is a long non-coding RNA of Mirounga angustirostris (Northern elephant seal), 2397 nucleotides long. RefSeq lists it as uncharacterized. The transcript is spliced from 4 exons. The record is from RefSeq and is a predicted model, not a curated record. Lineage: Eukaryota; Metazoa; Chordata; Mammalia; Carnivora; Phocidae.
UUAUGCUGCAUCAGAUGUGACAGCACUCACAACAACUGAUGUUAAUUGUUGAUCAGGCGCUGGUCGGAGGGCUUCAUAUGCAGGUUAACUCAUUUAAGUCUGACAGCAAGUCUAUGUGUAUGUAUGAUGGUGAUCCCCUUCUUACCCACGAGAUAAUCAAGGCUCACAGAGGAGAAAUAAUUUGCCCAGUCACCCAGCCAGUAAGUGGCAGAGCCAGGAUCCCACCCCAGGUAGCCUGGAUGCAGAGACCACACUGUCACCCACCGCACAGGCAGCUUGUCCUCUUCUGAUUUGUCUUGGGCGGCUCGACUCUGGGUUUACUUUCUCCUCCAUGGCAGAUGAAGAAGGAAGGGGAAAGAGGCAGGGCACCAAAGACUGACAUACCACAGACCUUACGGAAUCCCUGGUCUCAAAGGAACUAUCAUAGGACAUUUUCACACCUCUUCAUCAAAUGAUACUAUCUAUAGACCAUUCAGUCAGAUGCAGAUUUCCAUUCUUCUCCAGGAAGGAAUUAUUAUUGCUCCUCUUAUUAAUUCAUUUCAGUAUUUAGCAGACUUCCCUGCCCUGAAGCUCUUCACACCCAACCCGACCGAGUCGUGUAAAGAGUUAGCCUGAGGUUUGGACAUUGAGGCAAUAACUAAAAUUAACUCUGGACUUCUCUGUGGAUUUUUUUAAUCCAUGUUCCAUUGGCACAGUUCACUAGUAUAUACAAGCCUAACUAAAACGCAUUAAGUCCCAGCUCGCUUUUGAGAGUUUGCCGCUGAGUAUGCCGUUGAGGAAGAAAGCACGCGGUGGAUUCUUUGCUGGCCACUGUCUCCAAACAACCCCCACUGGAAGGGACUCUGCCCAUGCUCCACUGCGUUAGCACCCACAGGAUCUCUGCUCAGAACCCCCAGGGAGCAUUUGCCCAGCCACAAGGUUCUGAUUACUGAAGCCUCUCCCCCGAGCUGCAUCUGACCUGAAUAUCAGGUUGCUGGUGAGGAGACUCAUUCACUGGAACUGGCCUUUGGAGCAGUGCUGACCGGACCAUCCAGACUGCUGAGCCGGCCUCCAGUGACCUGGCACGCAGGACACGCGGGUGACAGCAUUUCCCUCCGUGUUAGACGUUCCCCAGGUAGAAAUGCAAGACGACCUAGAACUAUAAUGAUCCUGUCUGUGUCAUAAGAGCAUCAGAGAGAACUUGGGUGAAUUAAAAGUCCUAACGGAUGUGCUUUCGGCCCACCAAAUUCAUGCAAAAUAUUAAUUCCCUUGUCUUGUUGCUAUUCAUGAAAUGGCGCAGAUUAGAGAAGGCCCUGGUCAUUGAUUAAAGGACAUUCAAGGGAAUGAAGGAUGACACGGGGAAAGGCCAACAUGACGUUUUCACGUGUGUUCUACCUGGUUGGGGGGCCUGAGAGAAAGACAAGCUUCUCCUCUCCUCAUCCCUGCUGGCACCGGUGGCCUCCCCAUGCAGUGUUCCCUGUGCGCUUGGCCUCGGCUGAGGGAGAGGUGAUGAAAAGGGGAGAGACAGCUCUCCGCCGCCAAGUAAUCCUUCUGCCGAUUGCCCUCUGGCUGAGAACUCAGUCACCCAACUUCAGGGAACUCUAUCUGUUCUACUCCUUUAGUUUAAAAGGAGUUGCCAUCCUGUCUCAUUUCCCCCUUUGAAGUUCUAUUUCAACGUGUGGCAAAUUCUAGCAAUGACUUAAGACUGAUUUGGGCCUGGAUGGGAAGGAGGACAGAGGUGGUGGAGGUUAGGACUUAGAUCCCUUGACUGGAAGCUUCUCUUGCCACUCUUUCUGGAGAGACAGACAGAGAGAGAGAGCACAAGCAGAGGGAGAGGGAGAAGCAGGCUCCCUGCUGAGCCGGGAGCCCGACACGGGGCUCAAUCCCAGGACCCUGGGAUCAUGACCUGAGCCGAAGGCAGCUGCUUUAACCAACUGAGCCACCCAGGUGCCCCUGAAACAUGAUAUUUUAUGGGCUCUUCGCCUCAGCUAUUCUGUCCAUGCCACUGGCAGAGUGAAAGUCCUGGUUGCAAGCAACAGAAACUGACUCCAGCUGAUUUAAAAGAAAAACAUUUAUUAAAAGGAUAGGAGGGUAACUCACAAAAUCCCUGGGAGGGCUUGAGAGCCAGACUGGAGCCGGAGCACUGGCUAAAAGCAGACAGCAGAACCAGUCUGAUCUGGCUACCCGGACUGCGAGAGGCACCAGGCUCCAGAUCUGCUCUGCAGACUGUCUUGGCCCUGGACACAGGAUGCCAGGAGUCAGACCAGUGACAGUCGCCGCCACCACCUGGGAAGACUAACUGUGGGCCCUGUUUCUUUGCUUCCUUACCUCUCAAUUAGAAGCAUGCGACCACAAGAUUCAGAUUCCUUGGAGCCUAGAGGACCCUUGGAAUUUUCUUCACCUUGGCUACAUCCUGUG